This 447-nucleotide ribosomal RNA is filed under the name uncultured bacterium. RNAcentral's name for it is "bacterial SSU rRNA". It matches the Rfam family "Bacterial small subunit ribosomal RNA", at positions 329 to 793 of the family's 1533-position model. The record is from RNAcentral.
GUCCAGACUCCUACGGGAGGCAGCAGUGGGGAAUAUUGCACAAUGGGGGAAACCCUGAUGCAGCGACGCCGCGUGAAGGACGAAGUAUUUCGGUACGUAAACUUCUAUCAGCAGGGAAGAAAAUGACGGUUCCUGACUAAGAAGCCCCGGCUAGCUACGUGCCAGCAGCCGCGGUAAUACGUAGGGGGCAAGCGUUAUCCGGAUUUACUGGGUGUAAAGGGAGCGUAGACGGUGCAGCAAGUCUGAUGUGAAAGGUCGGGGCCCAACCCCGGGACUGCAUUGGAAACUGUUGAACUGGAGUACAGGAGAGGUAAGCGGAAUUCCUAGUGUAGCGGUGAAAUGCGUAGAUAUUAGGAGGAACACCAGUGGCGAAGGCGGCUUACUGGACUGUAACUGACGUUGAGGCUCGAAAGCGUGGGGAGCAAACAGGAUUAGAUACCCGCGUAA